RNAcentral lists this ribosomal RNA (306 nucleotides) under uncultured Flavobacteriaceae bacterium. RNAcentral describes it as "partial 23S ribosomal RNA". The record is from RNAcentral. Lineage: Bacteria; Pseudomonadati; Bacteroidota; Flavobacteriia; Flavobacteriales; Flavobacteriaceae.
UCUCCACGAUGAAUGCUUUAAAAAGUAGGACCGAAAUUAAGGAGACAAAGAAAGCUUUCUUUUGUUGUUUCUGAGAUAAGAUUCUUUUAAUGCAUUCUCAAGAUUGAAGUUUGAGCGGCAGCGUAGCUACUCCGAUAACUGAGAAUCUUGCACAACGUUCAUUGACAUAUUGGGACGUACCAUGGGCACGAGUCGCCUAUGGUAGGUCAAAAGAAGAAACUUAAGUAGUAGAAUAGAAUACAUUAUUAAGUACAGUAAUAUUUAAGGAUUACGAGAGGGCACGUAUAUUAAGUUAUAUAUGUGCGA